RNAcentral lists this ribosomal RNA (433 nucleotides) under uncultured bacterium. RNAcentral's name for it is "partial 16S ribosomal RNA". It matches the Rfam family "Bacterial small subunit ribosomal RNA", at positions 29 to 507 of the family's 1533-position model. The record is from RNAcentral.
AACGAACGCUGGCGGCAUGCCUAACACAUGCCAGUCGAACGAGACCUUCGGGUCUAGUGGCGCACGGGUGCGUAACGCGUGGGAACCUGCACUUAGGUUCGGAAUAACUCUCCGAAAGGGGUGCUAAUACCGGAUAAUGUCUUAGGACCAAAGAUUUAUGGCCUUUGGUUGGGCCCGCGUUGGAUUAGCUGGUUGUUAGGGUAAAAGCAUACCAAGGGGAGGAUCCAUAGCUGGUCUGAGAGGAAGAUCAGCCACACUGGGACGGAGACACGGCCCAGACUCCUACGGAAGGCAGCAGUGGGGAAUAUUGGAAAAUGGGCGAAAGCCUGAUCCAUCAAUGCCGCGUGAGUGAUGAAGGCCUUAGGGUUGUAAAGCUCUUUUACCCGGGAUGAUAAUGACAGUACCGGGAGAAUAAGCUCCGGCUAACUCCGUG